This 454-nucleotide ribosomal RNA is filed under the name uncultured bacterium. RNAcentral describes it as "partial 16S ribosomal RNA". It matches the Rfam family "Bacterial small subunit ribosomal RNA", at positions 28 to 507 of the family's 1533-position model. The record is from RNAcentral.
GAUGAACGCUGACAGAAUGCUUAACACAUGCAAGUCUACUUGAACUUCGGUUUGGGUGGCGGACGGGUGAGUAACGCGUAACGAACUUGCCUCACAGAUAGGGACAACAUUUGGAAACGAAUGCUAAUACCUGAUAUUAUGAUUUUAGGGCAUCCUAGAAUUAUGUCAGCUAUAUGCACUGUGAGAGAGCUUUGCGUCCCAUUAGCUAGUUGGAGAGGUAACGGCUCACCAAGGCGAUGAUGGGUAGCCGGCCUGAGAGGGUGAUCGGCCACAAGGGGACAGAGACACGGCCCUUACUCAUACGGGAGGCAGCAGUGAGGAAUAUUGGAAAAUAGACCAAGAGUCUGAUCCAGCAAUUCUGUGUGCACGAUGAAGUUUUUCGGAAUGUAAAGUGCUUUCAGUUGGGAAGAAAAAAAUGACGGUACCAACAGAAGAAGUGACGGCUAAAUACGUG